Molecule: ribosomal RNA, 466 nt
Filed under: uncultured bacterium
Lineage: Bacteria
Description: partial 16S ribosomal RNA
Rfam family: Bacterial small subunit ribosomal RNA
Source: RNAcentral
GACGAACGCUGGCGGCGUGCUUAACACAUGCAAGUCGAACGGAAAGGCCCUGCUUGCAGUGUACUCGAGUGGCGAACGGGUGAGUAACACGUGGGUGGUCUGCCCUGCACUUCGGGAUAAGCUUGUUAAACUGGGUCUAAUACCUGAUAGGAGCCAUCUUUAGUGUGGUGGUUGGAAAGUUUUUUCGGUUUAGGAUGAGCUCGCGGCCUAUCAGCUUGUUGGUGGGGUAAUGGCCUACCAAGGCGGCGACGGGUAGCCGGCCUGAGAGGGUGUACGGCCACAUUGGGACUGAGAGAAGGCCCAGACUCCUACGGGAGGCAGCAGUGGGGAAUAUUGCACAAUGGGAGCAAGCCUGAUGCAGCGACGCCGCGUGGGGGAUGAAGGCCUUCGGGUUGUAAACUCCUUUCGCUAGGGAAGAAGCUUUGUUGUGACGGUACCUAGAUAAGAAGCACCGGCUAACUACGUG